This 109-nucleotide non-coding RNA is filed under the name uncultured Clostridium sp. RNAcentral describes it as "FMN riboswitch (RFN element)". It matches the Rfam family "FMN riboswitch aptamer (RFN element)". Rfam says of the family: The RFN element is a highly conserved domain that is found frequently in the 5'-untranslated regions of prokaryotic mRNAs that encode for flavin mononucleotide (FMN) biosynthesis and transport proteins. This element is a metabolite-dependent riboswitch that directly binds FMN in the absence of proteins. The record is from RNAcentral. Lineage: Bacteria; Bacillati; Bacillota; Clostridia; Eubacteriales; Clostridiaceae.
AUCUUCGGGGCAGGGUGAAAUUCCCUAUCGGUGGUUAUAGCCCACGAGCUAAUUUAGCAUGAUUUGGUGAAAUUCCAAAGCCGACAGUAUAGUCUGGAUGAAAGAAGAA